Molecule: ribosomal RNA, 289 nt
Filed under: uncultured Methylobacteriaceae bacterium
Lineage: Bacteria; Pseudomonadati; Pseudomonadota; Alphaproteobacteria; Hyphomicrobiales; Methylobacteriaceae
Description: partial 16S ribosomal RNA
Source: RNAcentral
CUACCCGGGUAUCUAAUCCUGUUUGCUCCCCACGCUUUCGCGCCUCAGCGUCAGAACCGGACCAGUGAGCCGCCUUCGCCACUGGUGUUCUUGCGAAUAUCUACGAAUUUCACCUCUACACUCGCAGUUCCACUCACCUCUUCCGGUCUCGAGCCGAACAGUAUCGAAGGCCAUUCUGUGGUUGAGCCACAGGCUUUCACCCCCGACUUGAUCGGCCGCCUACGCGCCCUUUACGCCCAGUGAUUCCGAACAACGCUAGCCCCCUUCGUAUUACCGCGGCUGCUGGCAC